This is a long non-coding RNA of Gossypium arboreum, 287 nucleotides long. RefSeq lists it as uncharacterized. The transcript is spliced from 2 exons. The record is from RefSeq and is a predicted model, not a curated record. Lineage: Eukaryota; Viridiplantae; Streptophyta; Magnoliopsida; Malvales; Malvaceae.
CAGGCAAAUCUCGUUAUUCUUCGCUGGGUUUUGGCUAAGGUAAUCCCCAACCAUAGUGGGCUUGGAGCUGUGAGGGAAUUCAGAGUGGCCACCCGUUCUGAAAGUUUGAUUUUCUUCUGGUGAACUGGACAUCCUUUUAUUUAGGUUUGAAGUUUUGGGAUUUUUUUUAAAUGUAAUAAGGCUGCUUAAUUAUUUUUGAUGGUUUUAAUAUGUAUUACUAAGAUAGGUAUUACUUAUUUUAACUGUUAAAAUUGGAUAGCUUUAGGGCGCGUUUUCAAAAACAACAA